UACGUAGGGUGCAAGCGUUAAUCGGAAUUACUGGGCGUAAAGCGUGCGCAGGCGGCUUUGCAAGACAGAUGUGAAGUCCCCGGGCUUAACCUGGGAACUGCAUUUGUGACUGCAUGGCUAGAGUGCGGCAGAGGGGGAUGGAAUUCCGCGUGUAGCAGUGAAAUGCGUAGAUAUGCGGAGGAACACCGAUGGCGAAGGCAAUCCCCUGGGCCUGCACUGACGCUCAUGCACGAAAGCGUGGGGAGCAAACAGG
RNAcentral lists this ribosomal RNA (253 nucleotides) under uncultured bacterium. RNAcentral's name for it is "partial 16S ribosomal RNA". It matches the Rfam family "Bacterial small subunit ribosomal RNA", at positions 524 to 776 of the family's 1533-position model. The record is from RNAcentral.